AAGGCCUAUUAAAGCGGAAACACUUCCCAGAAGAUCAGAAAUCUCUCUUCAAACGGAGCUCAUUCCCCAGCUUGUUGCCUCAUCGAGCUGGGCAGCUUAAAAUAAAUAAUCUAUUAAAAGUCAACCAAUUACAAAACUCACCUUUCAACUCUCAGUUUUGGGAAAUGGACUGGAAGGGUUCCUUCAACAGUAACUUGACCAUGCUCUGCCUGAUGACAUCGUCUUGGAAUGUUGGUCAUCGUGUCUGUUACUGUCCUAAGGAGGAGGAAGUCUGGGUGGCAAACUAGAGAAAACGCCUCACCAUCUGGCCUGACAAAACUUCCAUGCCUGAACUUGGAGGUAUCGACUUCAUACUCUAAAGAUUCACGGACCUUCCCGGGGCCUCAGUGAAACAAAAUUGUGAAGAAAAACCUUGACGUGAGUCCUCAACAAAAACAAUCAGCAGGAUUUUCACUGAAUUUUGAAACAAAUCAAUAUGGGUUCCUUCCCCAUACGCCCACCAGUAAAUAGUGCACAAUCAGAACUAAACCUAUGCCUUUUCUUAAAAGGACAAAGGAGAACAUCUGAAUAUUUUCCAAACUCAUAUUCCCGUUUGUCCAAGUCUCUUAGUUCUCUCUGUUUCACAUUAAAUAUGAGAUAGUCUCAUUGGUCAGUAGCAAAAGCCUCAACAUCUCUACAACUAAAGGAUGUGGCCAGGGCAGGGAAGGUGGCCAGUGAGUCGAUGCUCCUCUCUAAGGGUGUCCCACCCAACAGGACAGCCCACCAAUGCUACCGCUUUGUCCUCUUGGUCAUUGGAAGGUUGCCCUUGAGUUGGAUGAGCACCUCUGCUCCCACACUCUGAGCAGUCACAUAUGGCAAAAGGAGCUCCUGCUCAUGGCUCUCUGGGCAAACCCAAGAAGCAGAAGUAGCUUGGAGUGUAACAGGGCAAGGGUCAAAUGGUUUGGAAAGAGUUUUAACCCUGAAGUGACCUUUGUUUGCUUCUGUCACUCCUCCACUCUCUUCCAGCCAGAAACAGGUAACCGUAGAAGUAAAGCCAUUUCUUCCAGAAAGCUGAUUCCUAACUUCAGCAGCUCUGUGAAGGGGACUCUAAGAACCAGAAAGCUUGGUUUUCAGUCCUCAUUCUGCUUUUAAGUGGUCUUGGAAACUUGAGCAGCUCAGUUAUCUCCCUGGUGUCAAUUAGGGUAACUAUACAGUGCCUAUGGCAGAACCCCCGGAAGCUGCUGUCUCCAAGCAGACAUCCCUCCCCUGCCUGCUAGCCUGGGGGGAGUCUGUGAAGUGAGCUGGGGUGUGUGGGGUGUUGCUCCCUAGCAGAAGAAGACCAGCCGUCAUGCAGCCCAGGCAUCUUUGGUAGGAACGGGCAGAGAUUGAUGGCCGUACAGCUCUAGCUUUUGCAUUUGUGGGAGAAAGUAUCUUGGGAAAAACAAUCAGCACAGCAGCCUGAAAUGAAAGGAGCAAACAGCACGCAGUCGGAGCCCAGGUUCCCUUCCACCCCUGCACGGAUUUCAUACUUCCCAGCCCUCGCCUGACACGCUGCCUGCAGGACUUGUUUCAAAAUACCCACCGAGAGAGUUCCACAGGAUUCUGUCCUGUACUCAAACUGUUCACUCUCCCUUUUGAAGCUGAGAGGAGCCAGACAGAAACUGUGUUAAAUUAGACAAGAUGGAGAAUGGGAGAGGUCCCCUAGGCCUUCUCUCAGGCCCAUGAGAUACCUACUGUGAAGCAUGGAACAGAACAAGCUCUGUUAGAUAUAUGAAAACUCCAGACAAUCGGAAGAGGAUAAACACUGGGAGCAAGAUUCCUGUGUCACCGUGCGGAGGUAGAAGUGAUUUGGGUAUGGAGUCAAUGAGACAACCCAGGAAAGUGAUGAUGAGACUGAAUGGAAAGGCAGAUCAGAGCUUGCUGUGAUUUGUAAAAAAAAGCAGUA
Otolemur garnettii (small-eared galago) is the source of this 1924-nucleotide long non-coding RNA. RefSeq lists it as uncharacterized. The record is from RefSeq and is a predicted model, not a curated record. Lineage: Eukaryota; Metazoa; Chordata; Mammalia; Primates; Galagidae. The transcript is spliced from 5 exons.